Molecule: ribosomal RNA, 17 nt
Filed under: Trichoderma harzianum
Lineage: Eukaryota; Fungi; Ascomycota; Sordariomycetes; Hypocreales; Hypocreaceae
Description: partial 28S ribosomal RNA
Source: RNAcentral
GUAGGAAUACCCGCUGA